RNAcentral lists this ribosomal RNA (497 nucleotides) under uncultured bacterium. RNAcentral's name for it is "partial 16S ribosomal RNA". It matches the Rfam family "Bacterial small subunit ribosomal RNA", at positions 28 to 507 of the family's 1533-position model. The record is from RNAcentral.
GAUGAACGCUGGCGGCGUGCCUAAUACAUGCAAGUCGAGCGAACAGACGAGGAUCUUGCUCCUCUGACGUUAGCGGCGGACGGGUGAGUAACACGUGGAUAACCCACCUAUAAGACUGGGAUAACUUCGGGAAACCGGAGCUAAUACCGGGUAAUAUAUUGAACCGCAUGGUUCAAUAGUGAAAGACGGUUUUGCUGUCACUUAUAGAUGGAUCCGCGCCGCAUUAGCUAGUUGGUAAGGUAACGGCUUACCAAGGCAACGAUGCGUAGCCGACCUGAGAGGGUGAACGGCCACACUGGAACUGAGACACGGUCCAGACUCCUACGGGAGGCAGCAGUAGGGAAUCUUCCGCAAUGGGCGAAAGACUGACGGAGCAACGCCGCGUGAGUGAUGAAGGUCUUCGGAUCGUAAAACUCUGUUAUGAGGGAAGAACAAAUGUGUAAGUAACUAUGCACGUCUUGACGGUACCUAAUCAGAAAGCCACGGCUAACUACGUG